Molecule: long non-coding RNA, 478 nt
Filed under: Mytilus galloprovincialis (Mediterranean mussel)
Lineage: Eukaryota; Metazoa; Mollusca; Bivalvia; Mytilida; Mytilidae
Source: RNAcentral
CCCCCGCCGCAAGUGGAUAAUAUUAAUAGUGUAAAAAUAUACAAGUGUUCGGUAAACAGGAAGUUGUCGAGUGAUGAAUCUGAAAACGCAUCACACGGUAUAGCUGACUUAUAUAAAUCCUGAAACCAAAUUUCAGAAAUCCUUGUAUUGUAGUUCCUGAGAAAAAUGUGACGAAAAUUUUCAACUUGGCUAUCAUGUGUAAAAUCAUACAAGUGUUCGGUAAACAGGAAGUUGUCAAGUGAUGAAUCUGAAAACGCAUCACACGGUAUGGCUGACAUAUAUAAAUGUUGAUACCAAAUUACAGAAAGGGUGGAUGUGUAGUUCCUGAGAAAAAUGUGACGAAAGUUUCAUGGGACGGACUGACUGACUGACGGACGGACUGACGGACGGACUGACGGACGGACGGACUGACAGACAGAGGUAAAACAGUAUACCCCCCCUUUUUUAAAGCGGGGGUAUAACUACCUUGACCAAAAAC